AUGGAUUCCAUCUUAGCUAACGGUACCUGGGAGAUCACUGACCGUCCUUAUGGGUGCAAACCUGUAGGAUGUAAGUGGGUGUUCAAGAAGAAGCUUAGACCUGAUGGUACGAUUGAAAAGUACAAGGCACGGCUUGUGGCCAAGGGUUAUACCCAGAAAGAAGGUGAAGACUUCUUUGAUACUUACUCACUCGUGGCUAGACUGACCACAAUUCGGGUGCUACUAUCACUGGCUGCCUCACAUGGUCUUCUCGUUCAUCAAAUGGACGUUAAGACGGCCUUCCUCAAUGGAGAAUUGAAGGAGGAAAUUUACAUGGAUCAGCCAGAUGGUUUUGUAGUACCUGGUCAGGAAGGAAAGGUGUGCAAGUUAUUAAAGUCUUUAUAUGGCCUUAAACAAGCUCCUAAGGAGUGGCAUGAGAAGUUCGAAAGAACAUCAACUGCUGCCGGCUUUGUAGUAAACGAUGGGGACAAGUGUGUGUACUAUCGCUAUGGUGGGGGCCAAGGAGUUAUUCUUUGUCUGUAUGUCGACGACAUAUUGAUCUUUGGAACCAAACUUGAUUUAAUCAAGGAGGUUAAGGAUUUCUUAUCUCGCUGUUUUGAGAUGAAGGAUCUAGGAGUAGCUGAUGUUAUCUUAAACAUCAAGCUGUUGAGAGAUGAGAAUGGUGGGAUCACACUGCUUCAGUCUCACUAUGUGGAAAAGGUCUUGAGUCGUUUUGGGUAUAGCGACUGCACACCUUCUCCAACUCCAUAUGAUGCUAGUGUGUUGCUUCGAAAGAAUCGACAGAUUGCUAGAGAUCAACUAAGGUAUUCUCAGAUUAUUGGCUCGCUUAUGUAUUUGGCGAGUGCCACGAGGCCUGACAUCUCUUUUGCUGUGAGCAAGCUGAGUCGGUUUGUGUCAAAACCGGGAGAUGAUCAUUGGCAUGCGCUUGGAGAGUUAUGCGCUAUUUCAAAGGCACCGCGAGCUAUGGGAUUCACUACACCGGGUAUCCAAGGGUACUGGAAGGUUACAGUGACUCAAACUGGAUUUCUGAUCCUGAUGAGAUAA
Molecule: ribosomal RNA, 1044 nt
Filed under: Triticum aestivum (bread wheat)
Lineage: Eukaryota; Viridiplantae; Streptophyta; Magnoliopsida; Poales; Poaceae
Description: partial small subunit ribosomal RNA
Source: RNAcentral